This 1896-nucleotide long non-coding RNA is filed under the name Sus scrofa (pig). RNAcentral's name for it is "lncRNA (ENSSSCG00015053105.1)". The record is from RNAcentral. Lineage: Eukaryota; Metazoa; Chordata; Mammalia; Artiodactyla; Suidae.
GGCUAGGGGGUGAAUUGGAGCUGCAGCUGCCACCCUAUACCACAGCCACAGCAAUGCCAGAUCCAAGCCACAUCUGUGAUCUAUACCACAGUUCACGGCAACACCGGAUCCUUAACCCACUGAGUGAGGUCAGGGAUCGAACCUGCAUCCUCAUGGAUACUAGUCAGAUUCCUAACCCAGUGAGCCACAACGGGAACUCCCAAAUUGGAUUUUAAGUGUUUGUUGUAUGUUUCCAUAAAAGAAAAAAAAAAAAAAGCUACCCAUUCAAACACUGUUAUAAAAUAUUUUACUCUAAUUUUAUCUCAUGCAUGCUUUGAUUUAUUUUAAGGCAACAUUCUUUUCGUUAUAUUUGUUUCACUUAAGUACUUACUUUUAUCCUCACAUACCUGCAGUACCCAUUUUUGGCCUUUAUAAGAUAGCCAGAUAUUACUGUGUAUUAUUUAUUAAUGACAUUACAUAUUUUAUUUGAUCAUAAUAAGAUAGAUGCAUUGAAUUACUCUAAAUGCAUGCUUGAAAUUCUUAUAAAUCCAUGGUACAGUUGUUAAACAUACUCGGCGUUUUUAACUCAGCAAAAAAAAGAGCUCUCACAUUCAUUUAAGAAUUAGCUUGUAAGCCAAAAAUGACAGAUGUAGUAUUGCAGCUGAGGAGUGAACUUGUUAAAGAAAUCAUCUAAAUGGCAGAAACAUUUGGACAAAUACCCAAACGCCUUUUAAAUUCCUUUCUCAUGUCCUAUAGUAAUCAUUAUUGCGACAUUGCUGGUUGUUUUAUAAGUUUUCUCUACCUGCUUUCUUUUCAGUUUGGAAUGUCUUACGCUUGAAAGGAGAAGACCAGCAUUAUUGGAAUCCAGUCUCUCUAUAAUUUAAAUGCAUAUCUUGAAACUGCAGUUCAUUGUUUUUCUUAUUUUCUUUGAAAAUAGUUUUGAUUCAGUAUCUAGGUGUGGAUUUUUAAAAUUUGUAAUAUCAAGAUAACCCAAAAAAGUCAGAGAGAACAAUUAAUAGAAUAGGUAGCGAUAAUACCCAAAAGUAAAAUCUUUAACAUAAAAUUUCUCUUUGAGGAGUUCCUGUUGUGGCUCAGUGGAAAUGAAUCUGACUAGCAUCCAUGAGGAUGCAAGUUCCAUCCCUGGUCUCGCUCAAUGGGUUAAGGAUCUGGCGUUGCCAUGAGCUGUGGUGUAGGUUGCAGACAGGGCUCAGAUCUGACGUUGCUGUGGUUGUGGUGUAGGCCAAGCUACACCUCCAAUUAGACCCAUAGCCUGGGAACCUCCAUGUGCCACGGGUGUAGCCCUAAAAUAAAAAAAGACCAAAACCUUUAUAUUUUAAUGUCAAUGAAAGGAAAGCAAUUUCAGCUGUAUCCUCUAACAUAUUAAUUGUUCUAAACAUAUUUUUCUACUUUCACAACUUUCACAUGGGCAACAUAGUUAAUUUCUCUCAUUACAAACAGUAAUUCUCAAUUAGAAGACAAACACUUCCCACCAGGAGGGCAUACUACAGUAGAGCAAGUUGGUAUAUGAUAUGAAAUAACAGAAAAUUCUGAUCUACCCUCCUUUCUGACUGAUAUAUAAAUUAGUAUAAUUGAAGAAUAUAAUUUUCAUUUAAGUAUUAAAGAUGUAAUGAUAUAAAAAGUUAUUUUUAAAGAAAUACCUGUAGACAUUUUCAAAAAUCUACCUUUCUAAAUUCCAUUUUAAUUUGUGGUAUUAAUUUAUAGAAAUGCAAAUAUGUGUAUAAAUUUACAUUAAUUUGACAUAUUCUGAAAUAUAUACAGCUACAUAAAAAUUACAUUUUUUAUUUUGGGUUUUUGUUUUGUUUUGUUUGCUUUAUAAAGUAACAGAUUAGAAAUUAUAGAUUGGCCUGGGAACCUCCAUAUGCCGUGGGAGCGGCCCAAAGAUAUAGCAAAAAAAAA